Non-coding RNA from Paramisgurnus dabryanus, 3327 nucleotides. The record is from RefSeq and is a predicted model, not a curated record. NCBI's taxonomy places the organism in Eukaryota, Metazoa, Chordata, Actinopteri, Cypriniformes, Cobitidae.
AUAUGAUAGUGUAGCCACAGCCCUACAUCAGAGGCUUAAGUUAAGGAUGGACAAAUUUAGGAAUGACAUAUAAAGAAAAAGUAAAUGAUACAACACCGGCAGGAAGUGUAGAGUAGGGACCAGACAGGCUGGAGAAACCAGACCAGUAAAAGCUACAAGCAAGAGGAAAAUUCAAGCAAGCAGCCGGUAUCUCAAGGAUGGAGAGAGAGGGUGCAAGGAUUUAAAGUUUGAGACUGGAUGCUGGGUAAACGUUGGACAAGAACAGCAAGCUGCAUGGAUUUAUGCCAAGAGACAAUGUUUAUGUUGAAGAACCCAGAAAUACAUCAAUGUGCCCGAUUUUGAUAAACGGACAACAAGGACAAUGUAAACCCUGGGCCACGCAGGAUUUUGAUGGACUAGCUGCACGCCUUCCAGAAAUACAUGAAGGAGCCGGAAAAUGGAUACAAACUUUUGAGCAAAAGACAGCAGGGUGUGUCUCAGCCAUAGGAGAUAUCAAGGCCCUUUUGGCAAAGUGUGUCGGUGGAACAAAGUUGAAUGAACUUUUGAAUGAUGCUGGACUGAGAAUUGCAACUGACAACAUCAGAAGAGAUAAAAUGACCUUUGCCCCCUUCAGGAAGAGCACGUGGACAACAAUACACAGAGAAUACCCCAUGCGGAUUGACCCGAAGAUGCUGAAAGGUGAUCUGAUUGAUGAAACAGAAAAUUCAACAGCAUAUAUACAAGAACAGCUGAAACGGUGGUGUGGAGAACUGGAAAAAGACCCGGAAGAAGACUUUGUUUUAACUGCACUGUACAGAAAGGCAAUAAUGGAAGCUGUGCCACCACCGGUUAAAACCAAACUAGAAGAUGUGGUCGAACUGAACUGCAAAUCACACAAGGAGUUCUGUGAUCAUGUUUCACAUGCAGUCAAGCAGCACCGAAAGAAUGAGCUGAAGGCAACCACAGCAGAGAGAGAGAUAUGUAGAGGGGGCUGGCACAGUUACAGCGGGACGACUUUGUGAGCAAAACUAAGAAAAAAGCACAAGCUGUUCUGAAGGAGAAACAACCAGCUUUAAUGGUGCUAAUCAACAAACCUGCCCCCACCAUCCAGCAAACACAGAUAGCAACACCAGCCCAACCCACUCGGGAAAUGCUGAACAGCAAGCCACUCUCAUUGUUAUCUGUGCAAAGCCAAAACAGCAAAACAGCAGGAAUGGACAGAAACACCAAGGAGGCAGAGGACAAGGCAGAACAAAAAGAUCACGUGAUAGAUGCUGGGGCUGUGAAGAUGCUGGGGCAGCCUGGACACUUCAGAAGUGAAUUUCUGAAUAACCCAUGUUCUAAUUAAGAUCAACAAAACUGACAGCAGAAUCAACAAGGCGGACAGUUGAACCAACAAUGCUGGCAGCCAAACCAGAGACAGUAAGGCCCACCCAUAGCAGCAGCAGCAAUCACAACGACAACAACAAUCACAGUGUGGUCCAGUGAAUCUGUGGCGUGGGCCAGACCAAAGCUACUAAGGUUGCCCAGAGGAUUCUAACGGGAGGGGCCAACAUCCAUUGAUAACUGAAAAUGCUGACGACAGAUUGUUGACUCUGCAGGUUGAAGUUGAAGGCAAGUCUGAACCUAUGAUGACUGACACUGGAGCAACUUACACAUGCUAUUUAACUGGACGAGAAAUGCAGAAACUUCACAUUUACCUGCGAAGGUAAAUAACUCACUUAUUCUAGAUUACUGCAAGAUUUCCUUUUUAAUUAUUAAAAACAGAUUUGAAAAGAUCUAGUGCUGGACAAUGCGCUAUUCCAAUAUGUGGAUGACCUAUUAAUUUACUAUCCCACACUUGACCCAUGCUGUAGAGAUUAUAAAAGUAUUAAAUAAAUUAUCUGAGGGGGGAGGCACAAAGCCUCUAGAGCUAAAUUACAACAUUGUUAAACAUAGGUUAAAUAUUUGAGAAGAUUAAUUGCAUAUACGACUGAAAUUAUGACCCAGCAAAUUAGAAGGCAUGAAUAAGGUUCUUAUGCCACAAAGGAAAAAACAUGACAAAGUUUAGCUUUAAUAGGAUAGAAGAUCAUUUAACAAAGAUUGCAUAUCCCUACAAUCAUUCAUAAUUCGAUGAAGCAACAAAAUUUAAGUACCUUACUUUCAUUUUACAGCAUUCAUAUUAUAAAAAUGAGACAUAACUGUAGCCCCAAUUGUGAUGAAGAUUUCUCACUAGAUGAUAUUGUCUUAACAGAACUAAUGGAACAGGGGAAAUAAAUGUGGGAAAAAUUCCAUAAUAAUUGUAUCACAAUUUGACAUUUGGAUAAAUACAGUAUACGUUUUGGCAAAAUUGAUAUGUCAGAAGUUAUUAAAUCUGUGAGCUACAACGAUAUUCACAGAUAAUUUCACAAUAGUACAGUUAACUAGGAAGACCUGUAAAAACCAGACUAUAACUUUUUCCUGUUACAAACAAAAAACCUUGUCGUAGCUGAAUGUUUUUGGAUAUGUGGGAGAAAUGCCUUAUGAUACACACUCCCCAGAUAGUGAAAAUGCUUGUGUGCUAGUUAACUUAGCCCAGGCCAUUAGUAUUUAAAUGUGAAAAUUAUAUAACCUUGUUACAAACCCCUGCUCUUUAUUUUUGUGUAGUUUGGGUUUUUCUCUAUCCUAGUAGUGGUUGUCCAUUUGGAAGGGGGCGGAAACCAAUUAUCUAUGACGCCUGAGGUAUGACUGUUUAAGAGCUGUUGUGGCCCCUUACAAAGGAGAGCUACCCAUUUGUUUGAAAACCUUUCGUAUGUUUGCAUUUUUUUGGUAUUAAACAGUGAGUUUGGAUUUGUCUAGUUAAACGAGCUCAGAGAAAGUGUGAGUAAGUGAGCUGAACCGGAAGACUUUUUCCUGUGUUUGUUAUUUUCUUUCUCAGAAGUUAGGAAGGUUUUAACUCAGGAGAUCUUGUAGUUCAGGGGCCGUAUUCACAAAGAAUUUUAAGGCUAAAAGUAGCUCCUAACUGGCGAAUUUAGAAGCAACUCCUAAAAAUAAUAGGCGUGUCACUCCUAAAUUUAGGACUCCUAAUUUUUUUCACUAAGAGUAAUUCACAAAGCAUUUUAGCCCUAAAAGUAGCACCUAAGUCUGGGACAGCUUAAAAGAAGUCGAGAGGACUCCUAACUCACUAAGACCUAUUCACAAAGGAUCUUAAAAUGUCUUAGGUGCUGAUCCUCCUUAACAUGGACAGUUUCACCAACUCAAAAGCAUUGCACAUACUUAAAAGCACACUUUAAUGUAAGCAUAUUGUUUAUGACAUUUGUUUCAUAAUUCAUUACAUUCAUGACAAGCAGGAAGUUUUUUAGAAUUACAUGAAACAAUAAUGAUAUUAAA